AGACCCGAAACCCGGUGAUCUAGCCAUGGGCAGGUUGAAGGUUGGGUAACACUAACUGGAGGACCGAACCGACUAAUGUUGAAAAAUUAGCGGAUGACCUGUGGCUGGGGGUGAAAGGCCAAUCAAACCGGGAGAUAGCUGGUUCUCCCCGAAAGCUAUUUAGGUAGCGCCUCGUGAAUUCAUCUCCGGGGGUAGAGCACUGUUUCGGCUAGGGGGCCAUCCCGGCUUACCAACCCGAUGCAAACUGCGAAUACCGGAGAAUGUUAUCACGGGAGACACACGGCGGGUGCUAACGUCCGUCGUGAAGAGGGAAACAACCCAGACCGCCAGCUAAGGU
RNAcentral lists this ribosomal RNA (337 nucleotides) under Salmonella enterica subsp. enterica serovar Infantis. RNAcentral describes it as "partial 23S ribosomal RNA". It matches the Rfam family "Bacterial large subunit ribosomal RNA", at positions 711 to 1045 of the family's 2925-position model. RNAcentral also lists the same sequence under 3 other names. Lineage: Bacteria; Pseudomonadati; Pseudomonadota; Gammaproteobacteria; Enterobacterales; Enterobacteriaceae. The record is from RNAcentral.